UACGUAGGGUGCAAGCGUUGUCCGGAAUUAUUGGGCGUAAAGAGCUCGUAGGCGGUCUGUCGCGUCUGCUGUGAAAACUCAGGGCUUAACCCUGAGCUUGCAGUGGGUACGGGCAGACUAGAGUGCGGUAGGGGAGACUGGAAUUCCCGGUGUAGCGGUGAAAUGCGCAGAUAUCGGGAGGAACACCGGUGGCGAAGGCGGAUUCUCUGGGCCUUACCUGACGCUGAGGAGCGAAAGCGUGGGGAGCGAACAGG
Molecule: ribosomal RNA, 254 nt
Filed under: uncultured bacterium
Lineage: Bacteria
Description: partial 16S ribosomal RNA
Rfam family: Bacterial small subunit ribosomal RNA
Source: RNAcentral